Atopobium minutum 10063974 is the source of this 33-nucleotide regulatory RNA element. It matches the Rfam family "L31-Coriobacteria ribosomal protein leader". The record is from Rfam. Lineage: Bacteria; Bacillati; Actinomycetota; Coriobacteriia; Coriobacteriales; Atopobiaceae.
GCUCUGGUCGGAAACCAGAGCCGUUAGAAGGAG